GAUGAACGCUGGCGGCGUGCCUAAUACAUGCAAGUCGAGCGAACAGAUGAGGAGCUUGCUCCUCUGACGUUAGCGGCGGACGGGUGAGUAACACGUGGAUAACCUACCUAUAAGACUGGGAUAACUUCGGGAAACCGGAGCUAAUACCGGAUAAUAUAUUGAACCGCAUGGUUCAAUAGUGAAAGACGGUUUUGCUGUCACUUAUAGAUGGAUCCGCGCCGCAUUAGCUAGUUGGUAAGGUAACGGCUUACCAAGGCAACGAUGCAUAGCCGACCUGAGAGGGCGAUCGGCCACAGGGGAUGUGAACCAGCGCCCAGACCCCGAAGGGAGGCAGCAGUAGGAAAUCUUCCGCAAUGGGCAGUAGCCUGCCGGGCGAACUCCGCGAAAGUGAUGAGGGUCUCUGCUUCGUAAAACUCUUUUUUUUGGGAAAAACAAAUUUGUAAGUCACUAUGCCCGUUUUGAGGGAACCUAAUCAGAAACCCCCGGCAAACUCCUG
Molecule: ribosomal RNA, 496 nt
Filed under: uncultured bacterium
Lineage: Bacteria
Description: partial 16S ribosomal RNA
Rfam family: Bacterial small subunit ribosomal RNA
Source: RNAcentral